CGUCAGUGCAAUUAUAAGUUUCCGCGCUCAAUUUUAAUCGUUCAUUUUAUUUAAUUUUUUUUAUAAUUAGUAUUUUUGUUGUUACGAGAUAAUAAAAUAUGAAUAGUACUAUACUCAUGACUUAUAUUUUUAAAUUUUUUUAAAAUUUUUUUAAAUAAAACGAACGAACAGAGGGCAUUUUGCUGUUUGGACA
Oryza barthii is the source of this 193-nucleotide non-coding RNA. Lineage: Eukaryota; Viridiplantae; Streptophyta; Magnoliopsida; Poales; Poaceae. The record is from Rfam.